Harpia harpyja (harpy eagle) is the source of this 1088-nucleotide long non-coding RNA. RefSeq lists it as uncharacterized. The record is from RefSeq and is a predicted model, not a curated record. Lineage: Eukaryota; Metazoa; Chordata; Aves; Accipitriformes; Accipitridae. The transcript is spliced from 2 exons.
CAAAAAGAGUGUGUUUAUUCUAUUUUGGUUACAGAGCAUUUUGGCAAAAACUUAAUUUUGGAAUAAUUUCCUUGACAUUUGACUUACCAGCACAAAGGAGAAUGAAGGAGAAAGAGGAAUUUCCAUCUGGAAUCUUUCCAUUUGGUGCUACCACUUAUUCUGUGACAAUCAGCAGCUAUUCAAAACCUUCCUCAGAUAUAAGCAGUGAAUGAUAUUUGCAUGUUAAUACAUAUUUUAUUUUAUUUCAUUUUGUUUAUUACAAACAGAGUGGUUUGUUUACAUGCAAGUUUGAGGUAACAGUUCACAGUGAUUUUAAGAAGUGUUGUUUGAUAAAUAAUCUAAACCUCUUCCUAAUCUGCAUGAGACCUAGGCUUUAGGAAAUGAAAAGAACUUGAGGAGGUCACCUAUUCUGAAGAAGAUCUUUGCAGGCUCAGGGCAAAAGUGUUCCUGGAAUUCCUUCUCAGCAGAAGAUAAUGUUUCAGGGAAUCAUCACUGGGGAAAAGCCAUGCAUGCUGGGAGAAAAAGUGGACAAGAGAGUAUUCUGCGGUAUUUUUACUGGCCUGACUGAAGCUGAAGAGGUAUUAGAGGUAACCUCAUGAGAAAGUUUGACCUUGCAAGAUUUCCGACUGAUUUCCAGAGCCAAAAGAUUCAGAUACAUUUGGAUAGACUUUGAACAAACAUCCAAACUUCUGCAUGCUUGUCUGAACUGAAGAUCCAAAUGUUUUGAUACACCCUCCUUCCUCUCCUUGAUGAAUGCACAUGUAUAUUGUGUGCGUAUUUACAUGUGUUAUUUGCGAAACUUGGGAAAAUACGUGUACAUUUAGGCUCUUGUCAGAGAGGUUUCUGGGCUGAAGUGCUAAUUCAUUACUGGAAAUAAAAGUUGAUAUAAAACAUAAGUGCUAAGUACUCCAGAAAGUACAUUAUGAAAAAUAGUUGAGCUAUAUGCAGUCUUCAGUCUCAUUAGGAAGUGAGAAAGAGAUGGCAUGGAAAAAAUUAACUUGUCAACAUAGCCAUAUAUAAUUUUCAAAGAGCACAAUGUGAACACAAGAUGUUGCACUGACCAUUCAAAUAAAUCAGAAAGCUGUGAA